Molecule: ribosomal RNA, 523 nt
Filed under: uncultured bacterium
Lineage: Bacteria
Description: bacterial SSU rRNA
Rfam family: Bacterial small subunit ribosomal RNA
Source: RNAcentral
CCAGAGAACUUUCCAGAGAUGGAUUGGUGCCUUUCGGGGAACUCUGAGACAGGUGCUGCAUGGCUGUCGUCAGCUCGUGUUGUGAAAUGUUGGGUUAAGUCCCGCAACGAGCGCAACCCUUAUCCUUUGUUGCCAGCGGUCCGGCCGGGAACUCAAAGGAGACUGCCAGUGAUAAACUGGAGGAAGGUGGGGAUGACGUCAAGUCAUCAUGGCCCUUACGAGUAGGGCUACACACGUGCUACAAUGGCGCAUACAAAGAGAAGCGACCUCGCGAGAGCAAGCGGACCUCAUAAAGUGCGUCGUAGUCCGGAUUGGAGUCUGCAACUCGACUCCAUGAAGUCGGAAUCGCUAGUAAUCGUAGAUCAGAAUGCUACGGUGAAUACGUUCCCGGGCCUUGUACACACCGCCCGUCACACCAUGGGAGUGGGUUGCAAAAGAAGUAGGUAGCUUAACCUUCGGGAGGGCGCUUACCACUUUGUGAUUCAUGACUGGGGUGAAGUCGUAACAAGGUAAGCGUAGUGCU